Molecule: long non-coding RNA, 248 nt
Filed under: Suricata suricatta (meerkat)
Lineage: Eukaryota; Metazoa; Chordata; Mammalia; Carnivora; Herpestidae
Description: lncRNA (ENSSSUG00005002717.1)
Source: RNAcentral
AUACACACACAAUAGACCUUCUUGCCAGAUCAGCACAUAGGCCACAGACAUGAUUUUCUUCCCCAGAUUUCCAACCGGAUGUUUCUGUUUGCAGUGUUGGGGAGUCCUGGAAAGAGUAUGACAAUUUAGUAUCCCCUUGUGAUGGAGGGCAGAGGCUCAGAAGUGCCAGAUUCUGAAGUCUUACCUUCAACACCUCUCUCUCCUAUGUAAGUAGGCCCCACUCGGGGGUCUCUUCUGAACAAACAAGU